CCUCUGGGAAUAUACCAAACUCUCCGUAGCUGCUGGAGUCAUGCUAUGGUUAUCACACUAUCAUUAUCAUUGCCAUUUUUAUUAUCAUUGUCAUUAUGAUUUUCAUUAUCAUUGUCAUUAUCAUUAUCAUUCCUCCGUGGUUGGUUUGCUCGUUUCCACGUCACAAUAAAAAAAAGAAGAAUGAUUAAUGUAUACAAAUACCGUUGGAUUUGAGACCCCAUCAGUACCACUGCCUAAUCCAUUUUAACUAAAGUCACUUGAUCAGUUUUCGUUAUUUUAAUUUUUAUUGUUAACUUUAUAUUAUUUAUACAAUUGUCGUUGGUGUAAUCUUGUCUUAUCUGCUUGUGUU
This 349-nucleotide long non-coding RNA is filed under the name Citrus x clementina. RNAcentral describes it as "Citrus clementina (C. clementina) long non-coding RNA (CCLE_LNC003033)". The record is from RNAcentral. Lineage: Eukaryota; Viridiplantae; Streptophyta; Magnoliopsida; Sapindales; Rutaceae.